RNAcentral lists this ribosomal RNA (164 nucleotides) under Glycine max (soybean). Its description in RNAcentral is "5.8S ribosomal RNA". It matches the Rfam family "5.8S ribosomal RNA". Rfam says of the family: 5.8S ribosomal RNA (5.8S rRNA) is a component of the large subunit of the eukaryotic ribosome. It is transcribed by RNA polymerase I as part of the 45S precursor that also contains 18S and 28S rRNA. Lineage: Eukaryota; Viridiplantae; Streptophyta; Magnoliopsida; Fabales; Fabaceae. The record is from RNAcentral.
CUCGGCAACGGAUAUCUCGGCUCUUGCAUCGAUGAAGAACGUAGCGAAAUGCGAUACUUGGUGUGAAUUGCAGAAUCCCGUGAACCAUCGAGUCUUUGAACGCAAGUUGCGCCCGAAGCCAUUAGGCCGAGGGCACGCCUGCCUGGGUGUCACACAUCGUUUCC